UGGGACCUGAUCCUAGACCCAGUUCUGUUCCUCUGAGACUGUUUGUGAAUAUGGGACCUGAUCCUAGAUUAUGUUACUCUGAGACUUGCUUGUCAAUAUGUGUACAGCUCUUUAGUAUCACAACUCCUCACAACCUUUUUUAAAAUGUUUUAUUGAUAGUUCACCUGAAAUGAUAUUUUGAUUUCCUUCCAGUCUUGGGACCAAGUAAGAUGGUAAUCCUUUAAUCUUUAUGUUUGUUUUACCUGGACACUAAAUAAUACAUCUUGUUGUUGUUGUCCAACACCUUGCAAGUCAAUGUCCUCCCUCAUGUCCUGGGUGAACUAUCAACCUUUUACCCGGGUGGGGAUUGGCUUUUAUAGACGGGGCUCAUCUGGAAGGUUUCUUACCCGGGUGGGGAUUGGCUUUUAUAGACGGGGCUCAUCUGGAAGGGGAUUGGCUUUUAUAGACGGGGCUCAUCUGGAAGGUUUCUUACCCGGAUGGGGAUUGGCUUUUAUAGACGGGGCUCAUCUGGAAGGGGAUUGGCUUUUAUAGACGGGGCUAAUCUGGAAGGGGAUUGGCUUUUAUAGACGGGGCUAAUCUGGAAGGGGAUUGGCUUUUAUAGACGGGGCUAAUCUGGAAGGGGAUUGGCUUUUAUAGACGGGGCUAAUCUGGAAGGGGAUUGGCUUUUAUAGACGGGGCUAAUCUGGAAGGGGAUUGGCUUUUAUAGACGGGGCUAAUCUGGAAGGGGAUUGGCUUUUAUAGACGGGGCUAAUCUGGAAGGGGAUUGGCUUUUAUAGACGGGGCUAAUCUGGAAGGUUUCUUACCCGGGUGGGGAUUGGCUUUUAUAGACGGGGCUCAUCUGGAAGGUUUCUUACCCGGGUGGGGAUUGGCUUUUAUAGACGGGGCUAAUCUGGAAGGUUUCUUACCCGGGUGGGGAUUGGCUUUUAUAGACGGGGCUAAUCUGGAAGGGGAUUGGCUUUUAUAGACGGGGCUAAUCUGGAAGGUUUCUUACAGAAGAAACAUGGGAUGCAUAAACAUAGUAGAAUAAUUUUUUUAAAGAACCGUUUGGGGAUUAUGGGGACAAUUUGGAGAUUAUGGUGACUGUUUGGAGAUUAUGGCAACAGUUUGGAGAUUAUGGGAACAGUUUGGAGAUUAU
Molecule: long non-coding RNA, 1135 nt
Organism: Oncorhynchus keta (chum salmon)
Lineage: Eukaryota; Metazoa; Chordata; Actinopteri; Salmoniformes; Salmonidae
Exons: 3
Source: RefSeq, a predicted model, not a curated record